RNAcentral lists this ribosomal RNA (387 nucleotides) under Clostridioides difficile. RNAcentral describes it as "bacterial LSU rRNA". It matches the Rfam family "Bacterial large subunit ribosomal RNA", at positions 1189 to 1580 of the family's 2925-position model. Lineage: Bacteria; Bacillati; Bacillota; Clostridia; Peptostreptococcales; Peptostreptococcaceae. The record is from RNAcentral.
UACUACCGAAGCUACGGCAUCAGUAAUGAUGGGUAGGGGAGCUUCCCAUACGGGUUGAAGCAUGACCGUAAGGACAUGUGGACAGUAUGGGAGUGAGAAUGUUGGCAUGAGUAGCGAGAUGUGGGUGAGAAUCCCACAGGCCGUAAACCCAAGGUUUCCAGGGGAAGGUUCGUCCGCCCUGGGUUAGUCGGGACCUAAGCUGAGGCCGAAAGGCGUAGGUGAUGGACAACAGGUUGAUAUUCCUGUACUACCGAUAACCAUUUGAGAGAAGGGAUGACACAGUAGGAUAAGCUAAGCACACUGUUGGUUAUGUGUGCCCAAGCAUUGAGGCAGUCCAAGUAGGCAAAUCCGCUUUGAUAAUGCUGGGAUGUGAUGGGGAGCGAAAUU